Long non-coding RNA from Neopsephotus bourkii (Bourke's parrot), 314 nucleotides. RefSeq lists it as uncharacterized. The record is from RefSeq and is a predicted model, not a curated record. Lineage: Eukaryota; Metazoa; Chordata; Aves; Psittaciformes; Psittacidae. The transcript is spliced from 2 exons.
CUACUCCCUCUGCACAUGAUGAAUUUAAUCCUCUUUUUUAUUCUACCUUUUGUAGUUUCUCUGAGGAAUACUUGUCAUGAAAGCAAACAACAGAGGAUCUCUUCUUUGUAAUUACUGUAUCAUUAAAUGCUGGCAGAUUUACUGUAAGUAUUAGUGAGUAAGUGGCACUACUGACAACGCUGGAGAAAUACUGAGAUUUGCAGGAGAAUGUGACAUCACGUUUGAUUUGUAAAUGCCUGUUUUCAAUUGCAACAGCCCUGGUAUCUGUAUCCUAUGAUGUUUCUAUCACUUAAGCCUGCCUGUACUUAAAGAUA